This 468-nucleotide ribosomal RNA is filed under the name uncultured bacterium. RNAcentral's name for it is "partial 16S ribosomal RNA". It matches the Rfam family "Bacterial small subunit ribosomal RNA", at positions 28 to 507 of the family's 1533-position model. The record is from RNAcentral.
GACGAACGCUGGCGGCGUGCUUAACACAUGCAAGUCGAACGGAAAGGCCCUGCUUUUGUGGGGUGCUCGAGUGGCGAACGGGUGAGUAACACGUGAGUAACCUGCCCUUGACUUUGGGUUACCUUCAGGAAACUGGGGCUAAUACCGGAUAGGAGCUCCUGCUGCAUGUUGGGGGUUGGAAAGUUUCGGCGGUUGGGGAUGGACUCGCGGCUUAUCAGCUUGUUGGUGGGGUAGUGGCUUACCAAGGCUUUGACGGGUAGCCGGCCUGAGAGGGUGACCGGCCACAUUGGGACUGAGAUACGGCCCAGACUCCUACGGGAGGCAGCAGUGGGGAAUAUUGCACAAUGGGCGGAAGCCUGAUGCAGCAACGCCGCGUGCGGGAUGACGGCCUUCGGGUUGUAAACCGCUUUCGCCUGUGACGAAGCGUGAGUGACGGUAAUGGGUAAAGAAGCACCGGCUAACUACGUG